GGUUAAGUCUCUUGCCUAAGAUUUCCCAGCUAACAGAAAUAUAGUUCCUUCACUUUCUCUAAGUGUUCUUCUCUUUCACUCUGACUCAGAUCAUCUUUUUGCUAUUGCUGUUAACUUGGUCUUCUGGUCUUUUUCUCAGGUUUCUACCUUAGAUGCCUAUUAAUUUCAUUGGCAUAUCUACAAACUCAGAUGGGUCCAGUGUGGUAAAUCCUAUUAGCUGCAUACUCUAUGAGAAGAAGGAAUUGUGCUUGUCAGGUUCAUGCCCGUAUCCUCUGACACAUGGUUUCUCUCUUUUCCUGCAAAAAAAGUCUCUGGCCUCUCCCUCAGGAUGUUUAACCUCAAAGAAAGCUUCCUGGGUGGCAAAGCAGCUUGCCAGCCACAGUCACCGUGCAA
RNAcentral lists this long non-coding RNA (393 nucleotides) under Mustela putorius furo (domestic ferret). Its description in RNAcentral is "lncRNA (ENSMPUG00000031648.1)". The record is from RNAcentral. Lineage: Eukaryota; Metazoa; Chordata; Mammalia; Carnivora; Mustelidae.